RNAcentral lists this ribosomal RNA (417 nucleotides) under uncultured Methylomirabilota bacterium. RNAcentral's name for it is "bacterial SSU rRNA". It matches the Rfam family "Bacterial small subunit ribosomal RNA", at positions 1000 to 1414 of the family's 1533-position model. Lineage: Bacteria; Methylomirabilota (SeqCode). The record is from RNAcentral.
GCCGAAAGGCGGGAGUGCCCGCAAGGGAGCGCGGAGACAGGUGGUGCAUGGCUGUCGUCAGCUCGUGUCGUGAGAUGUUGGGUUAAGUCCCGCAACGAGCGCAACCCUCACCCCUUGUUGCUACCAGGUAAAGCUGGGCACUCUAGGGGAACUGCCCCGGUCAACGGGGAGGAAGGCGGGGAUGACGUCAAGUCAUCAUGCCCCUUACGUCCUGGGCUACACACGUGCUACAAUGGCCGGUACAAAGGGAUGCCACACCGUGAGGUAGAGCUAAACCCAAAAAGCCGGUCUAAGUUCAGAUUGGAGUCUGCAACUCGACUCCAUGAAGGAGGAAUCGCUAGUAAUCGCGUAUCAGCACGACGCGGUGAAUACGUUCCCGGGCCUUGUACACACCGCCCGUCACACCACGAAAGCCAG